Molecule: ribosomal RNA, 255 nt
Filed under: uncultured bacterium
Lineage: Bacteria
Description: partial 16S ribosomal RNA
Rfam family: Bacterial small subunit ribosomal RNA
Source: RNAcentral
UACAGAGGGUGCAAGCGUUGCUCGGAAUCAUUGGGCGUAAAGGGCAGGUAGGUGGUCUGAUUUGUCUGGCGGUGAAAUCCUUGAGCUUAACUCAAGAAGUGCCCCGGAAACGGUCAGACUUAGAGUCUUGGAGAGGGUGGCGGAAUUCCCGGUGUAGCGGUGAAAUGCGUAGAGAUCGGGAGGAACACCAGUGGCGAAGGCGACUACCUGGCCUGUUCUUGACGCUGAGGCGCGAAAGCUAGGGGAGCAAACGGG